UACGGAGGAUGCGAGCGUUAUCCGGAUUUAUUGGGUUUAAAGGGUGCGUAGGCGGGAUGCCAAGUCAGCGGUAAAAAUGCGGUGCUCAACGCCGUCGAGCCGUUGAAACUGGCGUUCUUGAGUGGGCGAGAAGUAUGCGGAAUGCGUGGUGUAGCGGUGAAAUGCAUAGAUAUCACGCAGAACCCCGAUUGCGAAGGCGGCAUACCGGCGCCCUACUGACGCUGAGGCACGAAAGCGUGGGUAUCGAACAGG
Molecule: ribosomal RNA, 252 nt
Filed under: uncultured bacterium
Lineage: Bacteria
Description: partial 16S ribosomal RNA
Rfam family: Bacterial small subunit ribosomal RNA
Source: RNAcentral